AUACGGAGGAUCCGAGCGUUAUCCGGAUUUAUUGGGUUUAAAGGGUGCGUAGGCGGAUUUUUAAGUCAGCUGUGAAAUUUCGGCGCUCAACGUCGGCACUGCAGUUGAAACUGGAAGUCUUGAGAGUGCAAGAGGCACGCGGAAUUCAUGGUGUAGCGGUGAAAUGCAUAGAUAUCAUGAAGAACCCCGAUUGCGAAAGCAGCGUGCUGGGGCAUAUCUGACGCUGAGUCACGAAAGUGCGGGUAUCAAACAGGAUUAGAUACCCUGGUAGUCCGCACAGUAAACGAUGAAUACUAGCUGUUGGCGAUAGACAGUCAGCGGCGCAAGCGAAAGCGUUAAGUAUUCCACCUGGGGAGUACGCCGGCAACGGUGAA
Molecule: ribosomal RNA, 374 nt
Filed under: uncultured bacterium
Lineage: Bacteria
Description: bacterial SSU rRNA
Rfam family: Bacterial small subunit ribosomal RNA
Source: RNAcentral